RNAcentral lists this ribosomal RNA (251 nucleotides) under uncultured bacterium. Its description in RNAcentral is "partial 16S ribosomal RNA". It matches the Rfam family "Bacterial small subunit ribosomal RNA", at positions 1251 to 1500 of the family's 1533-position model. The record is from RNAcentral.
AAACUCGCGAGAGUAAGCUAAUCUCUUAAAGCCGUUCUCAGUUCGGACUGUAGGCUGCAACUCGCCUACACGAAGUCGGAAUCGCUAGUAAUCGCGGAUCAGCAUGCCGCGGUGAAUACGUUCCCGGGCCUUGUACACACCGCCCGUCACACCAUGGGAGUUUGUAACGCCCAAAGUCGGUGGCCUAACCUUUGUGGAGGGAGCCGCCUAAGGCGGGACAGAUGACUGGGGUGAAGUCGUAACAAGGUAGC